UAUAAAGCGUAGAUGAGGAGAAGUAAAAAGCAUUAACAUUACAGAGAGAGUCACCUUGGCUGGAAGUGAUUCAUGCUUAAUGCUUUUGAAAUGCGCCUCGGAGCCUCCUUUCGAAGCAGAGAUGCUCUGUAGUAGAAUGGAGCGGAUUCUCUUCCGUUAUAAGAGCUGAGGGAGCCAAGCUUUUCAUUUGGCUAAACAGAGUGGAACCGCGCGUCCGAGCGUCUCUGUG
This 229-nucleotide non-coding RNA is filed under the name Anoxybacillus sp. RNAcentral's name for it is "T-box sequence". It matches the Rfam family "T-box leader". From Rfam's summary of the family: Uncharged tRNA acts as the effector for transcription antitermination of genes in the T-box leader family. T-boxes are found upstream of many aminoacyl-tRNA synthetase genes and some amino acid biosynthetic genes usually in Gram-positive bacteria. The anticodon of a specific tRNA base pairs to a specifier sequence within the T-box motif, and the NCCA acceptor tail of the tRNA base pairs to a conserved bulge in the T-box antiterminator hairpin. The record is from RNAcentral. Lineage: Bacteria; Bacillati; Bacillota; Bacilli; Caryophanales; Anoxybacillaceae.